CUUCGGCGGCCUAUACAUGCAAGUCGAGCGGACAGAUGGGAGCUUGCUCCCUGAUGUUAGCGGCGGACGGGUGAGUAACACGUGGGUAACCUGCCUGUAAGACUGGGAUAACUCCGGGAAACCGGGGCUAAUACCGGAUGCUUGAUUGAACCGCAUGGUUCAAUUAUAAAAGGUGGCUUUUAGCUACCACUUACAGAUGGACCCGCGGCGCAUUAGCUAGUUGGUGAGGUAACGGCUCACCAAGGCAACGAUGCGUAGCCGACCUGAGAGGGUGAUCGGCCACACUGGGACUGAGACACGGCCCAGACUCCUACGGGAGGCAGCAGUAGGGAAUCUUCCGCAAUGGACGAAAGUCUGACGGAGCAACGCCGCGUGAGUGAUGAAGGUUUUCGGAUCGUAAAACUCUGUUGUUAGGGAAGAACAAGUACCGUUCGAAUAGGGCGGUACCUUGACGGUACCUAACCAGAAAGCCACGGCUAACUACGUGCCAGCAGCCGCGGUAAUACGUAGGUGGCAAGCGUUGUCCGGAAUUAUUGGGCGUAAAGCGCGCUUAGUCGGUUUCUUAAGUCUGAUGUGAAAGCCCCCGGCUCAACCGGGGAGGGUCAUUGGAAACUGGGGAACUUGAGUGCAGAAGAGGAGAGUGGAAUUCCACGUGUAGCGGUGAAAUGCGUAGAGAUGUGGAGGAACACCAGUGGCGAAGGCGACUCUCUGGUCUGUAACUGACGCUGAGGCGCGAAAGCGUGGGGAGCGAACAGGAUUAGAUACCCUGGUAGUCCACGCCGUAAACGAUGAGUGCUAAGUGUUAGAGGGUUUCCGCCCUUUAGUGCUGCAGCAAACGCAUUAAGCACUCCGCCUGGAGAGUACGGUCGCAAGACUGAAACUCAAAGGAAUUGACGGGGGCCCGCACAAGCGGUGGAGCAUGUGGUUUAAUUCGAAGCAACGCGAAGAACCUUACCAGGUCUUGACAUCCUCUGACAACCCUAGAGAUAGGGCUUUCCCCUUUCGGGGGCAGAGUGACAGGUGGUGCAUGCUGUCGUCAGCUCGUGUCGUGAGAUGUGGUUAAGUCCGCACGAAGCGCACCUGAUCUAGUGCCAGCAUUCAGUUGGCACUCUAGGUGACUGCCGAUGAACAAACCGGAGAAGGAUGAG
This 1148-nucleotide ribosomal RNA is filed under the name Bacillus sonorensis. RNAcentral's name for it is "bacterial SSU rRNA". It matches the Rfam family "Bacterial small subunit ribosomal RNA", at positions 36 to 1177 of the family's 1533-position model. The record is from RNAcentral. Lineage: Bacteria; Bacillati; Bacillota; Bacilli; Caryophanales; Bacillaceae.